AUUUUUAAAAGAUAGAAACCAACCUGGCUCACACCGGUUUAAACUCAGAUCAUGUAAAAUUU
RNAcentral lists this transfer RNA (62 nucleotides) under Coleoptera sp. 18 KM-2017. Its description in RNAcentral is "tRNA-Arg". The record is from RNAcentral. Lineage: Eukaryota; Metazoa; Arthropoda; Insecta; Coleoptera.